Molecule: ribosomal RNA, 445 nt
Filed under: uncultured bacterium
Lineage: Bacteria
Description: partial 16S ribosomal RNA
Rfam family: Bacterial small subunit ribosomal RNA
Source: RNAcentral
GUGAGGAAUAUUGCGCAAUGGAGGCAACUCUGACGCAGCCAUGCCGCGUGCAGGAAGAAGGCGCUACGCGUUGUAAACUGCUUUUAACCGGGAAGAAACCCCAGGACGUGUCCUGGGUUGACGGUACCGGAGGAAUAAGCACCGGCUAACUUCGUGCCAGCAGCCGCGGUAAUACGAAGGGUGCAAGCGUUAUCCGGAUUCAUUGGGUUUAAAGGGUGCGUAGGCGGAACGUUAAGUCAGUGGUGAAAUCCUGCAGCUUAACUGUAGACUUGCCAUUGAUACUGGCGCUCUUGAGUGCGCUUGAAGUGGGCGGAAUGUGCCGUGUAGCGGUGAAAUGCUUAGAUAUGGCACAGAACACCAAUUGCGAAGGCAGCUCACUAAGGCGAUACUGACGCUGAGGCACGAAAGCGUGGGGAUCGAACAGGAUUAGAAACCCUAGUAGUCC